UCCCCUAUAUAAACCACUCCAUAUGCCUCACCACUCACUCAUCCACCACAGCUUAGCAUUAACCACCAGUGCCUUACACACUCUCGAUCAACAAACUCUAGCCGAUCAGUUGCAUAGCAAGCAAUGGGGUGCUCUAAAACCCUAGUAGCUGGUCUCUUGGCCAUGCUCUUCCUAGCUCCGACCAUCCUAGCCACCGACCCUGAUCCUCUCCAGGACUUCUGCGUCGCCGACCUCGACGGCAAGGCAAUCUCGGUGAACGGGCACACAUGCAAGCCCAUGUCGGAGGCCGGCGACGACUUCCUCUUCUCAUCCAAGCUGGCCAAGGCUGGCAACACGUCCACUCCUAACGGCUCGGCCGUGACGGAGCUCGAUGUGGCAGAGUGGCCCGGCACAAACACGCUGGGCGUGUCCAUGAACCGCGUGGACUUUGCGCCCGGAGGCACCAACCCGCCACACAUCCACCCGCGUGCCACCGAGAUCGGCAUCGUGAUGAAAGGUGAGCUCCUCGUGGGAAUCCUCAGCAGCCUUGACUCUGGGAACAAGCUCUACUCCAGGGUGGUGCGCGCCGGAGAGACGUUCCUCAUCCCGCGGGGCCUCAUGCACUUCCAGUUCAAUGUCGGGAAGACCGAGGCCUCCAUGGUCGUCUCCUUCAACAGCCAGAACCCCGGCAUCGUCUUCGUGCCACUCACGCUCUUCGGCUCCAACCCACCCAUCCCGAUGCCGGUGCUCACCAAGGCGCUCCGGGUAGAGGCCGGGGUCGUGGAACUUCUCAAGUCCAAGUUUGCCGCUGGGUUUUAAUUCCUGGGAGACUGCCCAUGAAUGAUCAUAUAUCAUUCCGUAUAUGCAUGCUAGCGAAAUUUAAUAAUUCUCAGCAGAAGAUAUCUAUUCAAGCUUCUGGUUAAGCUCGCAUGCAGUUGUAAUAAGAUUGAAUAAGUUGGCCUCGUGGUUCAGUCAUCAGAGCCAAUACGAGGAAUUGAAAUGUACUACUUUUUAUUGUCUUCAUUGUUCUUUCAUUGUACGGAAUACAUAAUUAUCAUUUCCGCAUAUUUGUCUGAUGACCCUUUUAUAAGUUAGACAUACUCUCAACUCCACAUCAACAAAGGGAAAGAUAUCGGUACAGAGUCACGUCAACUUCGGAUAUAGACAAGGAUAAGGAAGAAGCCUUAAAGUAUUUGCCAAGACUACUACGGCAUGGUGAGCAAUGUCCAAACCAUUCAGAACACAUGUUCUGAAGUUACAGGCAGAACGCAAAAUGUACCCGUCAAUGCAUUAUAGCAAUCUCCAAAAUGUACAAAAAGAACACGAGAAUGGUUUUUCUACCAUGCAUGGGAUAUCCCACUGUCGGUUGUUGCUUUGACAUUCGUGCUAUCUUUUUUAAUGUCAACCUUGUGUCCUAAUGUUUUUUGUUUUCAAUGUGCGUAUCAUCUUAUUUAAGUUUGCACCAAUAAUAAAAUGAACUUGAUUUUAUAUCAGAUUUGUUGAUAAAUGAUGAUACACAACAAACCACUAGGAUGCACUUUUAAAAGAGAGGCAAAAAAACCUAAUGUGACACAUUGAAAAAAAUUAUAUUUUAAGUUUUUAACAACAACCAAAAAAAGUAGCAUGAAACUCAAAGCAAUCACUGAUGGUGGAUUCAUACAUGGUAGAAUAUCAUUUCUCCAAAAAGCAUGCCCUCAAGUUAUUGGAAUGCAUUGUAAAUGUAUUGGUUCAAGCUUUGUGCACAUAUGUAAAUGCAUCCACAUCUUCUUUUUAUUGUUCCAUAUUGCAAUAUCCCAAUUUCCCAGACAAGGCACCGGGGCAGAGGGCUUUUUCCAUGCUUUUACAAGAUUUGAUAGCUUGUUAUCAAGGACGCGGUUAUGGUGGCAAUGCAACAGAUUGCUCGUGGUAAUGGUGGGAAUUUUCAUUCUCUCAAUAAGACCUUGAUUGCUCUCCUUACUAAGAAAUAUGGGGCGACUCAUAUUGUGGACUUUGGGCCCGUUAGUCUACUCCAUAAGAUUCCAAGAUCUUUUCCAAGGCCCUUGCGCUUCGUUUGGGCACUAUUUUGGCUCAUCUCAUCACCAACAAACAGAGCAAUUUUAUUCGGAGACUAACAAUUCAAGAUGAUUUCAUGUUGGUUAGCAAAUCUAUCAAGUUAUUCCAUCAGAGGAAGAUUCCUAUGGUAUUACUGAAGCAAUGUCAUGCGGGCUUUCAACAAUGUUUCGUGGCGAUUAUUGCUGAAUGUGAUGCAGAUUCGUGCUUUGAGGCAAGGUGAUGCUCUUGGAUUUUGUUUAUGCUUUCUUCCGUUAGCACGGGAGUUUUGAUCAAUGGACACCUAAGCAGCAUAAUUUGGCAUGUGCGUGGGCUCAGCCGGGGUGAUCCAUUGUCGCCUCUCCUUUUUUUAAUAUAAUUAUGGAUGUAAUGAAUUCCAUGGUGUUGAAAUCUGAGAGCAGUGAGAUAUUGGCAGGUUUGGAACAAUAGGGUGUUCGACAUUGAUUUUCUCUUUUCGCUGAUGAUGCGGCUAGGUUUAUGAAGUCUUUACCAAAUGUGCUCACUGCGGUGAACGAGAUGCCUGGUUUUCUUUGGGAAGCGUCUGUCCUUGUGGAAAAUUUGAAUAAGACAUCUACUGCUCCAAUCCGAUGUGAGUCUGCUGAGGUGCAAAGGCUCACUGCUUUUUUCCCUUGUGAAGUGGCACCAUUCCUCUCUGUAACUACCUCAACCUCCCUCUCUCAUUAGUGGCCCUUACAAAGGCAGGCCUGCAAACACUAGUCGAUGAAGUGGCUCGCGGUUUAGCUACCUGGCGUACCUCCAUGCUCACCCACAGUGGGAUGAUUGUGUUGUUCAAGUCAGUGUUCAAGACCGUGUCAUCAUCGUCUGACCAGACACAUGUGGUGGAGAUCACGUGAAUACGGGAAUACAAAUACGAGUAAAUAAAACAAAACCCGUUACGAGUAUAAACGGUAUAGUGAUAAAGGAGUUGAUCACAGGGAUACCAAUAAUAUCUCACGUAGUGUUUGCUAACGUCUCGGGAAGUAGAGGGAAUAGUAUGCGGGACAAAAGGUUCGCUCAAGAACUUUGUGAAUAUGUGGGAGUUAACAAGGGUGUCCAUAUUCCGUUGUUAACUAUUGAUUAGAAGGUGUUCCGGGUCAUGCCCGCUUAUUUCCAAAGUAAUUAUUAUGGAAACUAAAAGUUGAGAGCAUGAGCAUCGAAAGUGUUUCGGAUGGUCCUAAAAGUGUUUUGGGAAUUCCAGAAAGAUAUAAUAUGUAAAAAAAUGGGUCUAUAUAUAUGGAAGGUUUCAGGAAGACAAAGGUUCUAGAAACUUCCAAAAAAAAUCCAGAAUAUAUUUUGGAAGAAAUACCCUCUUGGGUUGGCCCCGGCGCAGCCCCUAGUGGGCCAAAAAGCCACGAUCUAAUCCCGGUCUAAUUGGUCUAAUAGUUUAGACUUCUAAUUAGACGGGCUCUUAUGCCGGUCUAAUUGGUCUAAUUAGAUUAAAAUCCUAAUUAAAUAUGAACGCAACUAGGCUUCCCCUCUCUCUAGUUUUCUCGGAGCUCUUUUUCAUGGACCUUGAAGUAUUGCCGGAUCACUACUUCGGAACUCGUGGAUACUUCAGAGUGCACAUCUACUUUGAAUCUUGAUUGGUAGAUCAUCUCGGAGAAAUUCUCACAGUUGGGAGGUAUAACCAGUUGCCGAAAUUGCCAUGCUUCACUCACAGCCAGGAUCAGCCCAUGUCCCAAGGCAACCCUUGUAGCUACAUGCCGAGGCCUGACUACUUGGGGCCUCGCGCCCUGCAUUUUUGCAUGUUCAUGUGACACGUUAAAUGUUGAGAGAAAUAGAUUACUAAAUAUCACCCAUUUCGUUAUUCUAGAUGAGUAUCCUACAAUAUGUAUACCGAAAAAUGUAUUUUAAACUGUGGUAGGUGAGAAAGAUCUAUUAAAAAGAACUCUACGUAUACUCCCCCCUCCCAAUCCCCAUCCAGGUUUGUAAGACACUUUCGUCUUUUUUUGCCGAAUUUUAACCGUAAAUUUGACUAGUAAAAAUAAGUUAUACUGAAUGUAAUAAAUAUCGUACAUUCGGAUGUUGGAGACAGGGAGAGGCGGGCUGGUGCGCUGGAUGGAUCACGGUCAGAAAGUCUGACUUGCAACGCCACAGGCCCGUUGAUUGCCACUGACAACCAAGUUUUCGUUGUUUCGCUGGUGCCAUAUUUUCCGCGAUCGAAUAUUUAAACUGCGAGGAGAAAGGCAAGCAGGGCGCCAUAUCAGCACUUGAUCACUCACUGAUCGAUCAGUAGUAGCCACCUUCUCUGCGCCGACGUGUUAUAUAUUAUUGGCAACAAGUCAUCGAUUGAGAACAGAAACAAAACAAGAAGAGAACUAUUUGAGAGAGAGUAGUUACGCCGCAGCGAGUAGCCUCCCAUUUCUGACGAUCAUGCCAUACGAUAAACCGGCCGGCGGCGAGACCAGUUAGCAAGGUUGAAAUGCCAACACAUGUCGCGCUCAUUUCUCGGCUUUUUCAUUUUGCAUGUCGUCAUGCAGGCCCUGGACACUGACAUUUCUCUCUUUUGCUGUUGAAUGAAGACCCUAACCUUUCACCAUCAGCACGCCCCUCAACUUGAUAAGCCUAGACGAAACCCAUAUGCAUGAUUGAUGAGUAAUGGUGUGCACGAAUAUUAUGAACCCGUUUCCAAGAGCAAUACUCCAUUGAGAUACACCUCCUCCUUGUAUCUGUUCGUUGGUCCCAUUUCCAUAGCAGCCGGCAGUGGCCUUGACUCUGACUGCCACGCAAGUAAUAUAUCUUUAAUAAACUCGCUGCCUUGCUUCGUGUGUCCAUUUGCAAAUGCAUGCAGUGACGACAUGCACAUGCAUAGCUUAAUUAGCUCCAUGCAUCCACUGCUUCCAUUAAUCCCCUAUAUAAAGGACUCCAUAUGCCUCACCAUUCACUCAUCCACCACAGCUUAGCAGCAGCAACAACCAGUGCCAUAGACACUCUCCAUCAACAAACUCUAGCUGAUCAAUCCUAGCUAAGCUUAUUACAUAGCAAGCAUGGGGUACUCCAAAACCCUAGUAGCUGGCCUGUUCGCAAUGCUGUUACUAGCUCCGGCCGUCUUGGCCACCGACCCAGACCCUCUCCAGGACUUCUGUGUCGCCGACCUCGACGGCAAGGCGGUCUCGGUGAACGGGCACACGUGCAAGCCCAUGUCGGAGGCCGGCGACGACUUCC
This 5193-nucleotide long non-coding RNA is filed under the name Triticum aestivum (bread wheat). Its description in RNAcentral is "long non-coding RNA (TAES_LNC004020)". The record is from RNAcentral. Lineage: Eukaryota; Viridiplantae; Streptophyta; Magnoliopsida; Poales; Poaceae.